RNAcentral lists this ribosomal RNA (253 nucleotides) under uncultured bacterium. RNAcentral's name for it is "partial 16S ribosomal RNA". It matches the Rfam family "Bacterial small subunit ribosomal RNA", at positions 524 to 776 of the family's 1533-position model. The record is from RNAcentral.
UACGGGGGGGGCAAGCGUUGUUCGGAAUUACUGGGCGUAAAGGGCUCGUAGGCGGCCAACUAAGUCAGACGUGAAAUCCCUCGGCUUAACCGGGGAACUGCGUCUGAUACUGGAUGGCUUGAAUCCGGGAGAGGGAUGCGGAAUUCCAGGUGUAGCGGUGAGAUGCGUAGAUAUCUGGAGGAACACCGGUGGCGAGGGCGGCAUCCUGGACCGGCAUUGACGCUGAGGAGCGAAAGCCAGGGGAGCAAACGGG